AACGAACGCUGGCGGCAGGCUUAACACAUGCAAGUCGAACGCAUCGCAAGAUGAGUGGCAGACGGGUGAGUAACGCGUGGGAACAUACCCUUUUCUACGGAAUAGCUCUGGGAAACUGGAAUUAAUACCGUAUACGCCCUACGGGGGAAAGAUUUAUCGGGGAAGGAUUGGCCCGCGUUGGAUUAGCUAGUUGGUGGGGUAAAGGCCUACCAAGGCGACGAUCCAUAGCUGGUCUGAGAGGAUGAUCAGCCACAUUGGGACUGAGACACGGCCCAAACUCCUACGGGAGGCAGCAGUGGGGAAUAUUGGAUAAUGGGCGCAAGCCUGAUCCAGCCAUGCCGCGUGAGUGAUGAAGGCCUUGGGGUUGUAAAGCUCUUUUACCAGGGAUGAUAAUGACAGUACCUGGAGAAUAAGCUCCGGCUAACUACAUGCCAGCCGCCGCAGUAA
This 447-nucleotide ribosomal RNA is filed under the name uncultured bacterium. RNAcentral's name for it is "partial 16S ribosomal RNA". It matches the Rfam family "Bacterial small subunit ribosomal RNA", at positions 29 to 523 of the family's 1533-position model. The record is from RNAcentral.